RNAcentral lists this ribosomal RNA (672 nucleotides) under uncultured ciliate. RNAcentral's name for it is "bacterial SSU rRNA". It matches the Rfam family "Eukaryotic small subunit ribosomal RNA", at positions 241 to 1012 of the family's 1831-position model. Lineage: Eukaryota; Ciliophora. The record is from RNAcentral.
UCUGAUUGUCUUUGAUCCCCUAUUCUGAUCGUCUUUGAUCCCUUAUCACUCUGAUUGUCUUUGAUCCCCUAUGGUUGUCCAAUACACUACCAUGGCAGUCACGGGUAACGGAGAAUUAGGGUUCGAUUCCGGAGAAGGAGCCUGAGAAACGGCUACUACAUCUAAGGAAGGCAGCAGGCGCGUAAAUUACCCAAUCCUAAAUCAGGGAGGUAGUGACAAGAUAUAACAACGCGAUUAAAUAUCGCGAUUGUAGUGAGGGUAUUCUAAAAAUAGCUUCGAGUACGAUUGGAGGGCAAGUCUGGUGCCAGCAGCCGCGGUAAUUCCAGCUCCAAUAGCGUAUAUUAAAGUUGUUGCAGUUAAAAAGCUCGUAGUUGGAUUUCAAGAAACGCAUCUGGGCAACCAGUUUGCUUUCUUCCAGUCUUUGACUGUUACUGUGAGAAAAUUAGAGUGUUUCAAGCAGGCAAUUGCAGGAAUACAUUAGCAUGGAAUAACGAAUGUAUCUACAAUUUGGUUGAUUGUAGAAUACGAUUAAUAGGGACAGUUGGGGGCAUUAGUAUUUAAUUGUCAGAGGUGAAUUUCUUGGAUUUGUUAAAGACUAACGUAUGCGAAAGCAUUUGCCAAGGAUGGUUUCAUUAAUCAAGAACGAAAGAUAGGGGAUCAAAGACAAUCAGA